Molecule: non-coding RNA, 72 nt
Organism: Gavialis gangeticus (Gharial)
Lineage: Eukaryota; Metazoa; Chordata; Crocodylia; Gavialidae
Source: the annotation of a RefSeq genome assembly
GCCGUGAUUGUACAGUGGUUAGUACUCUGUGUUGUGGCCACAGUAACCUUGGUUCAAAUCCAAGUCAUGGCA